UGUAAAUGUAAAUUUUUGAACUAAAUUAGUAAUAGAUAUGAUCUUCAAAUUUAAAGAUUUUGGCGGUAUUUUAGUCUAUUCAGAGGAACCUGUUCUGUAAUUGAUAGUCCACGAUUAACUUUACUUAAUUUUAAAAAUUUGUAUAUCGUUGUUUAUAGAAAAUUUUAUAAGAAAAAUAAUUUUUAAUAAAUUUUAUUAAAUUAUAAAUCAAAUCAAGGUGCAGUUUAUAGUUAAGUUAGAAAUGGGUUACAAUAAAUUUAUUUAUUAAUGGAUUUAAAUUUUAAAAUUUUAUUGAAGGUGGAUUUGAUAGUAAUAUUAUUUAAUUAAAUAAUAUGAUUAUAGCUCUAAAAUAUGU
This 355-nucleotide ribosomal RNA is filed under the name Gyrinus minutus. Its description in RNAcentral is "partial 12S ribosomal RNA". Lineage: Eukaryota; Metazoa; Arthropoda; Insecta; Coleoptera; Gyrinidae. The record is from RNAcentral.